UGAUCCUGGCUCAGAACGAACGCUGGCGGCAGGCCUAACACAUGCAAGUCGAGCGCGCCUUCGGGUGAGCGGCGGACGGGUUAGUAACGCGUGGGAACGUGCCUUCUCUACGGAAUAGCCUCUGGAAACGGAGAGUAAUACCGUAUACGCCCUUUGGGGGAAAGAUUUAUCGGAGAAGGAUCGGCCCGCGUUAGAUUAGGUAGUUGGUGGGGUAACGGCCUACCAAGCCUACGAUCUAUAGCUGGUUUUAGAGGAUGAUCGGCAACACUGGGACUGAGACACGGCCCAGACUCCUACGGGAGGCAGCAGUGGGGAAUCUUAGACAAUGGGGGCAACCCUGAUCUAGCCAUGCCGCGUGAGUGAUGAAGGCCUUAGGGUCGUAAAACUCUUUCGCCUGUGAUGAUAAUGACAGUAGCAGGUAAAGAAACCCCGGCUAACUCCGUGCCAGCAGCCGCGGUAAUACGGAGGGGGUUAGCGUUGUUCGGAAUUACUGGGCGUAAAGCGCGCGUAGGCGGAUUAGAAAGUUGGGGGUGAAAUCCCGGGGCUCAACCCCGGAACUGCCUUUAAUACUGCUAGUCUAGAGUUCGAGAGAGGUGAGUGGAAUUCCGAGUGUAGAGGUGAAAUUCGUAGAUAUUCGGAGGAACACCAGUGGCGAAGGCGGCUCACUGGCUCGAUACUGACGCUGAGGUGCGAAAGUGUGGGGAGCAAACAGGAUUAGAUACCCUGGUAGU
This 731-nucleotide ribosomal RNA is filed under the name uncultured marine bacterium. RNAcentral's name for it is "bacterial SSU rRNA". It matches the Rfam family "Bacterial small subunit ribosomal RNA", at positions 14 to 794 of the family's 1533-position model. The record is from RNAcentral.